AGGGUUCGAUUAUGGCUCAGGAUGAACGCUGGCUGUAUGCCUAACACAUGCAAGUCGUACGAGAGUUUUUAGCUCUAGUGGCGGACGGGUGAGUAACACGUGAGAAUUUGCCUUUAGGAGGGGGAUAACAAUUGGAAACGACUGCUAAUACCCCAUAUGCUUCCGAGUGAAAUGGAUUUAUAUUUAUCCGCCUAAAGAGAAGCUCGCGGCUGAUUAGCUUGUUGGUAAGGUAAGAGCUUACCAAGGCGACGAUCAGUAUCUGGUUUGAGAGGACGACCAGACACACUGGAACUGAGACACGGUCCAGACUCCUACGGGAGGCAGCAGUGGGGAAUUUUCCGCAAUGGGCGAAAGCCUGACGGAGCAAUACAGCGUGAGGGAAGACUGCCUAUGGGUUGUAAACCUCUUUUUUCAGGGAGGAAUAAAAUGACGUGUACCUGAAGAAUAAGCAUCGGCUAACUCCGUGCCAGCAGCCGCGGUAAGACGGAGGAUGCAAGUGUUAUCCGGAAUCACUGGGCGUAAAGCGUCUGUAGGUGGUUUAAUAAGUCAACUGUUAAAUCUUGAGGCUCAACCUCAAAAUCGCAGUCGAAACUAUUAGACUAGAGUAUAGUAGAGGUAAAGGGAAUUUCCAGUGGAGCGGUGAAAUGCGUAGAUAUUGGAAAGAACACCGAUGGCGAAAGCACUUUACUGGGCUAUUACUAACACUCAGAGACGAAAGCUAGGGUAGCAAAUGGGAUUAGAUACCCCAGUAGUCCUAGCCGUAAACUAUGGAUACUAGAUGUUGAACAGAUCGACCUGUGCAGUAUCAAAGCUAACGCGUUAAGUAUCCCGCCUGGGAAGUAUGCUCGCAAGAGUGAAACUCAAAUG
This 867-nucleotide ribosomal RNA is filed under the name uncultured bacterium. RNAcentral's name for it is "bacterial SSU rRNA". It matches the Rfam family "Bacterial small subunit ribosomal RNA", at positions 8 to 907 of the family's 1533-position model. The record is from RNAcentral.